This 245-nucleotide unclassified non-coding RNA is filed under the name plant metagenome. RNAcentral describes it as "partial contains small subunit ribosomal RNA, internal transcribed spacer 1, and 5.8S ribosomal RNA". The stretch from base 1 to 54 matches the Rfam family "Eukaryotic small subunit ribosomal RNA", at positions 1778 to 1831 of the family's 1831-position model. The record is from RNAcentral.
GGAAGUAAAAGUCGUACCAAGGUUUCCGUAGGUGAACCUGCGGAAGGAUCAUUAAAGAGAAUAUGCCCUUCGGGGUAGAUCUCCCACCCUUUGUUUAUAUUACCUUUGUUGCUUUGGCAGGCCCGUCUUCGGACCACCGGCUUCGGCUGGUCAGUGCUUGCCAGAGGACCCAAAACUCUUAUUAUUAAUGUCGUCUGAGUACUAUAUAAUAGUUAAAACUUUCAACAACGGAUCUCUUGGUUCUG